GGGUUGUGAGGUUAAGCGACUAAGCGUACACGGUGGAUGCCCUGGCAGUCAGAGGCGAUGAAGGACGUGCUAAUCUGCGAUAAGCGUCGGUAAGGUGAUAUGAACCGUUAUAACCGGCGAUUUCCGAAUGGGGAAACCCAGUGUGAUUCGUCACACUAUCAUUAACUGAAUCCAUAGGUUAAUGAGGCGAACCGGGGGAACUGAAACAUCUAAGUACCCCGAGGAAAAGAAAUCAACCGAGAUUCCCCCAGUAGCGGCGAGCGAACGGGGAGCAGCCCAGAGCCUGAAUCAGUGUGUGUGUUAGUGGAAGCGUCUGGAAAGGCGUGCGAUACAGGGUGACAGCCCCGUACACAAAAAUGCACAUACUGUGAGCUCGAUGAGUAGGGCGGGACACGUGGUAUCCUGUCUGAAUAUGGGGGGACCAUCCUCCAAGGCUAAAUACUCCUGACUGACCGAUAGUGAACCAGUACCGUGAGGGAAAGGCGAAAAGAACCCCGGCGAGGGGAGUGAAAAAGAACCUGA
This 522-nucleotide ribosomal RNA is filed under the name Shigella flexneri. RNAcentral describes it as "partial 23S ribosomal RNA". It matches the Rfam family "Bacterial large subunit ribosomal RNA", at positions 1 to 553 of the family's 2925-position model. The record is from RNAcentral. Lineage: Bacteria; Pseudomonadati; Pseudomonadota; Gammaproteobacteria; Enterobacterales; Enterobacteriaceae.